This is a non-coding RNA of Podarcis lilfordi (Lilford's wall lizard), 71 nucleotides long. The record is from the annotation of a GenBank genome assembly. NCBI's taxonomy places the organism in Eukaryota, Metazoa, Chordata, Lepidosauria, Squamata, Lacertidae.
AGGGCUGUAGCUCAAUGGUAGAACAUCUGCUUUGCAUGUAGAAGGUCCUGGGUUCAGUCCCAACAUCUCUG